ANUUGAACGCUGGCCGGCAGGCCUAANUCAUGCAAGUCGACUCGGCAGCNCAGAGGAACUUGUUCCUUGGGUGGCGAGCGGCGGACGGGUGAGUAAUGCCUAGGAAAUUGCCCUGAUGUGGGGGAUAACCAUUGGAAACGAUGGCUAAUACCGCAUGAUGCCUACGGGCCAAAGAGGGGGACCUUCGGGCCUCUCGCGUCAGGAUAUGCCUAGGUGGGAUUAGCUAGUUGGUGAGGUAAUGGCUCACCAAGGCGACGAUCCCUAGCUGGUCUGAGAGGAUGAUCAGCCACACUGGAACUGAGACACGGUCCAGACUCCUACGGGAGGCAGCAGUGGGGAAUAUUGCACAAUGGGCGCAAGCCUGAUGCAGCCAUGCCGCGUGUAUGAAGAAGGCCUUCGGGUUGUAAAGUACUUUCAGUCGUGAGGAAGGUGGUGUUGUUAAUAGCAGCAUCAUUUGACGUUAGCGACAGAAGAAGCACCGGCUAACUCCGUGCCAGCAGCCGCGGGUAAUA
This 512-nucleotide ribosomal RNA is filed under the name bacterium RA3-6. Its description in RNAcentral is "bacterial SSU rRNA". It matches the Rfam family "Bacterial small subunit ribosomal RNA", at positions 30 to 525 of the family's 1533-position model. The record is from RNAcentral.